This 164-nucleotide ribosomal RNA is filed under the name uncultured bacterium. Its description in RNAcentral is "partial 16S ribosomal RNA". It matches the Rfam family "Bacterial small subunit ribosomal RNA", at positions 355 to 511 of the family's 1533-position model. The record is from RNAcentral.
UAGGGAAUCUUCCACAAUGGACGAAAGUCUGAUGGAGCAACGCCGCGUGAGUGAAGAAGGGUUUCGGCUCGUAAAACUCUGUUGUUAAAGAAGAACAUAUCUGAGAGUAACUGUUCAGGUAUUGACGGUAUUUAACCAGAAAGCCACGGCUAACUACGUACACG